AAUAUCCGAACAGAGGAAGACGGUUCGUUGUAGGGUCCACCAAUUAUGUAGAUGUCCGAACCAACUGUUUCGAUGGAACAUAGUUCGGGGAAAGAAUCUGUAGAAGAUGAAGGUACAGGAACAACAGAAAAUUCAUUCGAGUCCCGCUUAAACCUAAUCUUACCUCUCCGUUUGGUUCGGUUUUGAUUAUUAGGUUUCGUCCGAAGACUAAACCAUCUCACACAUGGGUGAUCGGGCAACAUUAACAAGACAUAGAUGCAUGUUUCAUCGGCUCCUAUUUGAGAUCGCGUCUUGUAGAUCUCCA
RNAcentral lists this long non-coding RNA (304 nucleotides) under Brassica napus (rape). RNAcentral's name for it is "long non-coding RNA (BNAP_LNC003056)". The record is from RNAcentral. Lineage: Eukaryota; Viridiplantae; Streptophyta; Magnoliopsida; Brassicales; Brassicaceae.